UCGCUGCCGGCGAUGCCGGACUUCAAGAACGGCGUGCCGCCUUGCGCGCCAAGCCCGGACAUAUGCCCGCUGCCGGCCAGCGACGUCGAGUACCUGAACUCGUAGCCGCCGUUGCCGCCAAGCCUCACGAUGGGCUCCCCUUCAUAGCUCCUUGACAGCAUGUGGACGGUGGAGAACUGCUCUUGCCAGAAGCACGCCACCUUGCCACCGACGGAGGCAAGCGCCGCCGAGUGCCCGACGUUGAUGAAGCUCUGCGUGCCAUUCGGCACCGCGUUGCCAAUGAACUCCGCCAUCAAGUGUGGCCCGUUCGUCCCCGUCGAUGCGGAAGCCGCCACCGCCACAGCCGCUACAUGAACCAAGAACGA
Molecule: small RNA, 365 nt
Filed under: Oryza sativa Japonica Group (Japanese rice)
Lineage: Eukaryota; Viridiplantae; Streptophyta; Magnoliopsida; Poales; Poaceae
Description: sRNA Os02g0318851
Source: RNAcentral